GGCGAAUAUAACUCAGUAGGUUAGAGUAUUAGGUUGUGAUUCUAAUUGUCAUGGGUUCAAGUCCCGUUAUUCGCC
RNAcentral lists this transfer RNA (75 nucleotides) under Coscinodiscus wailesii. RNAcentral describes it as "tRNA-His". It matches the Rfam family "tRNA". From Rfam's summary of the family: Transfer RNA (tRNA) molecules are approximately 80 nucleotides in length. Their secondary structure includes four short double-helical elements and three loops (D, anti-codon, and T loops). The record is from RNAcentral. Lineage: Eukaryota; Bacillariophyta; Coscinodiscophyceae; Coscinodiscales; Coscinodiscaceae.